UGAGGAAUCUUGCGCAAUGGGGGAAACCCUGACGCAGCAACGCCGCGUGAGUGAGGAAGGCCUUCGGGUCGUAAAGCUCUGUCAGAUGGGAAGAAAUGGAUGGGGGCUAAUAUCGUCCAUCCUUGACGGUACCAUCAGAGGUAGCACCGGCUAACUCCGUGCCAGCAGCCGCGGUAAUACGGGGGGUGCAAGCGUUGUUCGGAAUCAUUGGGCGUAAAGCGCGCGCAGGCGGCUUGGUAAGUCAGAUGUGAAAUCCCUGGGCUUAUCCCAGGAAGUGCAUUUGAUACUGCCUCGCUAGAGUACGGGAGAGGAAAGUGGAAUUCCUGGUGUAGAGGUGAAAUUCGUAGAUAUCAGGAGGAACACCGGUGGCGAAGGCGACUUUCUGGCCCGAUACUGACGCUCAGGCGCGAAAGCGUGGGGAGCAAACAG
This 429-nucleotide ribosomal RNA is filed under the name uncultured bacterium. RNAcentral's name for it is "bacterial SSU rRNA". It matches the Rfam family "Bacterial small subunit ribosomal RNA", at positions 355 to 775 of the family's 1533-position model. The record is from RNAcentral.